UACAGAGGCCUCGAGCGUUAGGCGGAAUCACUGGGCUUAAAGCGUGUGUAGGCGGUCUUCUAAGUACCUUGUGAAAUCCCACGGCUCACCCGUGGAACUGCUUGGUAUACUGGUCGUCUUGAGCCUUCUAGGGGCGAGUGGAACAAAUGGUGGAGCGGUGAAAUGCGUAGAUAUCAAGUGGAACACCAGUGGCGAAGGCGAGUCUCUGGACAUUUCCUGACGCUGAGGCACGAAAGCCAGGGGAGCAAACGGG
RNAcentral lists this ribosomal RNA (253 nucleotides) under uncultured bacterium. RNAcentral's name for it is "partial 16S ribosomal RNA". It matches the Rfam family "Bacterial small subunit ribosomal RNA", at positions 524 to 776 of the family's 1533-position model. The record is from RNAcentral.